AUUGAACGCUGGCGGUAUGCUUAACACAUGCAAGUCGAACGGUAACAGGCCUUCGGGCGCUGACGAGUGGCGGACGGUGAGUAACGCGUAGGAAUCUGUCUCAUAGUGGGGGACAACGUGGGGAAACUCACGCUAAUACCGCAUACGCCCUACGGGGAAAGCGGGGGAGUCUUCGGACCUCGCGCUAUGAGAUGAGCCUGCGUUAGAUUAGCUAGUUGGUAGGGUAAAGGCCUACCAAGGCGACGAUCUAUAGCUGGUCUGAGAGGACGAUCAGCCACACUGGGACUGAGACACGGCCCAGACUCCUACGGGAGGCAGCAGUGGGGAAUAUUGGACAAUGGGCGCAAGCCUGAUCCAGCAAUACCGCGUGUGUGAAGAAGGCCCUAGGGUUGUAAAGCACUUUCAAUUGGGAGGAAAACCUGCCGGUCAAUACCCGGCAGCUUGACAUUACCUUUAGAAGAAGCACCGGCUAACUCCGUGCCAGCAGCCGCGGUAAU
Molecule: ribosomal RNA, 497 nt
Filed under: uncultured bacterium
Lineage: Bacteria
Description: bacterial SSU rRNA
Rfam family: Bacterial small subunit ribosomal RNA
Source: RNAcentral